CCUACGGGAGGCAGCAGUGAGGAAUAUUGGUCAAUGGGCGCGAGCCUGAACCAGCCAAGUAGCGUGAACGAUGACUGCCCUACGGGUUGUAAACUUCUUUUAUAAGGGAAUAAAGUGAGGCACGUGUGCCUUUUUGUAUGUACUUUAUGAAUAAGGAUCGGCUAACUCCGUGCCAGCAGCCGCGGUAAUACGGAGGAUCCGAGCGUUAUUCGGGUUUAUUGGGUUUAAAGGGAGCGUAGAUGGGUUGUUAAGUCAGUUGUGAAAGUGUGCGGCUCAACCGUAAAAUUGCAAUUGAUACUGGCAGUCUAGAGAACAGUUGAGGUAGGCGGAAUUCGUGGUGUAGCGGUGAAAUGCUUAGAUAUCACGAAGAACUCCGAUUGCGAAGGCAGCUUACUAAACUGCCACUGACAUUGAUGCUCGAAAGUGUGGGUAUCAAACAGGAUUAGAUACCCUAGUAGUC
Molecule: ribosomal RNA, 460 nt
Filed under: uncultured bacterium
Lineage: Bacteria
Description: partial 16S ribosomal RNA
Rfam family: Bacterial small subunit ribosomal RNA
Source: RNAcentral